This 253-nucleotide ribosomal RNA is filed under the name uncultured bacterium. RNAcentral describes it as "partial 16S ribosomal RNA". It matches the Rfam family "Bacterial small subunit ribosomal RNA", at positions 524 to 776 of the family's 1533-position model. The record is from RNAcentral.
GACGAACCGUGCGAACGUUGUUCGGAAUCACUGGGCUUAAAGGGCGCGUAGGCGGGCGGUCAAGUCAGAGGUGAAAUCCCACGGCUCAACCGUGGAAGCGCCCCUGAUACUGAUUGUCUCGAGGGAGGUAGGGGCGUGCGGAACUUCCGGUGGAGCGGUGAAAUGCGUAGAUAUCGGAAGGAACACCGAUGGCGAAAGCAGCGCGCUGGACCUCUACUGACGCUGAGGCGCGAAAGCCAGGGGAGCAAACGGG